UCAACCCUCGAACCUCCGUUUCCUCAGGGAAGCUCAGGGUCGGUGUUGGGGCGCUACGGCGAGUCUUCGCGACCCUCCGUAGGCCCUGAAAUACAGUGGCGGUCCCGCCGCGGUUGCCUUCUGCGUAGUAAGUCUCUUUUGCAAGCUCGCAUUGGGUCCCGGCGGAGGCCUGCCGUCAAACCACCUAUAACUCCAGAUGGU
RNAcentral lists this unclassified non-coding RNA (201 nucleotides) under Scedosporium boydii. Its description in RNAcentral is "internal transcribed 2". Lineage: Eukaryota; Fungi; Ascomycota; Sordariomycetes; Microascales; Microascaceae. RNAcentral also lists the same sequence under 1 other name. The record is from RNAcentral.